CCAGGGCGACUAGAUGUCCAAGUUUAGUUGACUUUGGAAUUUGAUUCCUGCCAUGUGAUUGAUCUCUGGCCCAUGCACAAAGACCUCCAGACCCAGCCCUGCUUAGCUCCUUUCUUUCUUAUUCUUCCAUUGCAAAUCUGCAGGACCCAUGUUCCCAGUGGCAGUCCUAUAAGACAGGGAGGAGCUCUGACCUGCCCCACACUUAAGCACCAACAAUAGUGCUAAAUUUACAGCAGCCAUUCCUCUCAAAAAUAUUUUAGGACUCGUGGGUUAUGAAAAUGAUGAAAAUUCCAGGCUAAGAGAGAGAAAUGGAAAACCCCAUUAUUCUGGGAAAUUGAAGCAACUCCAAGAAAACCAUUUAGGGGAAGUCCUCAUGACGGUCCUCCACAGUCAAAGAUAGACACAGCCCAAAUGUCCAUCUGCCAUCUGCAGGUGGGCAGAUGAACAGAACGUGGUUUAUUCACCAAAGAAAAGGAAUGAAUGGAUCUAUGUAACAACACGAAGGUGUCUUAAAAACAUGACAAUGAAUGCGGGAUGAAAGAAAUUAGAGACAUGAAACACAUACAUAGGAUUCCAUGUAUAUGCAAUUCUAGAAGGGAGAAUUGAAUCUGUGGUUACAGAAAAUGGACUGUCAGCUUCCUGGGAUGGAAGAUUGAGAAAAUGAACUGCAGUGGAGCACAGGGAAGAUGUUUAGGGUGAUUUAUAGAUAUAAUUAGCCAAAACUC
Molecule: long non-coding RNA, 725 nt
Organism: Octodon degus (degu)
Lineage: Eukaryota; Metazoa; Chordata; Mammalia; Rodentia; Octodontidae
Exons: 3
Source: RefSeq, a predicted model, not a curated record